GUGCUUGCUUCUGCAGCACACAUACUAACAUUAGAAUGAUACAGAGAUUAGCAUGACCUCUGCUCCAAGAUGACACACAAAUUCAGGAAGCUUUCCAUAUGUUU
Molecule: small nuclear RNA, 104 nt
Filed under: Microcebus murinus (gray mouse lemur)
Lineage: Eukaryota; Metazoa; Chordata; Mammalia; Primates; Cheirogaleidae
Source: RNAcentral